AAACCGUUUAGGGGUAAACCUGAGAAACCCGAAAGGUCGAAGGGAGAAAUUCAUUCGCGUUUCGCCGUUGGCGUGAGACGGUCGUGUGACGGAAAACGUUCGCGUUUUCCGCACCUUUCGUUUUUCGAUCCGAUAGCGAACGCGUGCACUUUUCUCCUGGUAGGACGUCGCGAUCCGUUGGGUGUCGGUCUACGGCUCGCGGUGGAGCCCGGAUGUACGGCUUGCCGUUACGUUCGGACCCGUGUGUCCCGGCUGACUCGCUCGACGGUAUACGAAAGGUUUAAGGCCGCUCUUUGAGCGUUCGGCUCGUCGCAAGCGCGUCAGAUGUGUCGGUGAUCGGACCUAGUGCCGGUUCUGACCUCUGGCGACUGUUGGCGGCGAAGUUCUCGAACAGACCUUCGACCGAUCUGCGACGCUAUAGCUUUGGGUACUUUCAGGACCCGUCUUGAAACACGGACCAAGGAGUCUAGCAUGUGCGCAAGUCAUUGGGAAUCACUAAACCUAAAGGCGCAAUGAAAGUAAAGGUCCGCCUUGCGCGGACUGAGGGAAGACGAGCGGUUUACCCUUAAAAGUGGCCGCUCCGCAUUCCCGGGGCGUCUCAUUCUCAUCGCGAGAAGAGGCGCACCAAGAGCGUACACGCUGGGACCCGAAAGAUGGUGAACUAUGCCUGGUCAGGACGAAGUCAGGGGAAACCCUGAUGGAGGUCCGUAGCGAUUCUGACGUGCAAAUCGAUCGUCGGAACUGG
Molecule: ribosomal RNA, 745 nt
Filed under: Laparocerus femoralis
Lineage: Eukaryota; Metazoa; Arthropoda; Insecta; Coleoptera; Curculionidae
Also listed under: 1 other name
Description: eukaryotic LSU rRNA
Rfam family: Eukaryotic large subunit ribosomal RNA
Source: RNAcentral